UACGGGGGGGGCAAGCGUUGUUCGGAAUUACUGGGCGUAAAGGGUUCGUAGGUGGCUUGCUAAGUCAGACGUGAAAUCCCUCAGCUUAACUGGGGAACUGCGUCUGAGACUAGCAAGCUUGAGUGCAGGAGAGGAACGCGGAAUUCCAGGUGUAGCGGUGAAAUGCGCAGAUAUCAGGAGGAACACCGGUGGCGAAGGCGGUUCUCUGGGAAUGACCUGACGCUGAGGAGCGAAAGUGUGGGGAGCGAACAGG
This 253-nucleotide ribosomal RNA is filed under the name uncultured bacterium. RNAcentral describes it as "partial 16S ribosomal RNA". It matches the Rfam family "Bacterial small subunit ribosomal RNA", at positions 524 to 776 of the family's 1533-position model. The record is from RNAcentral.